GCUUGUCUCAAAGAUUAAGCCAUGCAUGUCUAAGUAUAAACACUUUAUACCGUGAAACUGCAGAUGGCUCAUUAAAUCAGUUAUAAUUUAUUUGAUGAUCAACUUACUACAUGGAUAACCGUAGUAAUUCUAGAGCUAAUACAUGCGCCAAGUCCCAACUCUUGCGGGGAGGGAUGUAUUUAUUAGAUCCAAAACCAAUGCGGGGCAACCCGGUAUAUGGUGAUUCAUAAUAACUUUCGGAUCGAUCUUCGGAUCGAUGCAUCAUUCAAGUUUCUGCCCUAUCAGCUUUGGAUGGUAGGGUAUUGGCCUACCAUGGCUUUAACGGGUAACGGAGAAUUAGGGUUCGAUUCCGGAGAGGGAGCCUGAGAAAUGGCUACCACAUCCAAGGAAGGCAGCAGG
This 399-nucleotide ribosomal RNA is filed under the name Mallomonas annulata. Its description in RNAcentral is "partial small subunit ribosomal RNA". It matches the Rfam family "Eukaryotic small subunit ribosomal RNA", at positions 30 to 432 of the family's 1831-position model. Lineage: Eukaryota; Synurophyceae; Synurales; Mallomonadaceae. The record is from RNAcentral.